Molecule: ribosomal RNA, 621 nt
Filed under: Qipengyuania atrilutea
Lineage: Bacteria; Pseudomonadati; Pseudomonadota; Alphaproteobacteria; Sphingomonadales; Erythrobacteraceae
Description: partial 23S ribosomal RNA
Rfam family: Bacterial large subunit ribosomal RNA
Source: RNAcentral
CUGCGGGGAGCUAGCAAAUAAGCUUUGAUCCGCAGAUUUCCGAAUGGGGAAACCCACUGUUUUUAACAGUAUCACUCACUGAAUACAUAGGUGAGUCGAAGCGAACCGAGUGAACUGAAACAUCUAAGUAACUCGAGGAAAAGAAAUCAACCGAGAUUCCGAAAGUAGUGGCGAGCGAAAUCGGACCAGCCUUGACGAGAUAACAGUGUGUGCAGUCGAACGUGAUGGAAAGCACGGCCGUAGCAGGUGAUAGCCCUGUAGACGAAACACACACUGUGGUACUAAGCGUCGAAUAAGUAGAGCGGGACACGUGAAAUCCUGUUUGAAGAUGGGGGGACCAUCCUCCAAGGCUAAAUACUCGUGAUCGACCGAUAGUGAACCAGUACCGUGAGGGAAAGGCGAAAAGAACCCCGGGAGGGGAGUGAAAUAGAACCUGAAACCGUGUGCAUACAAACAGUCGGAGCCUCUUUAUGGGGUGACGGCGUACCUUUUGUAUAAUGGGUCAGCGACUUACAUUCAGUGGCAAGCUUAACCGAAUAGGGAAGGCGUAGCGAAAGCGAGUCCGAAUAGGGCGUCUUAGUCGCUGGGUGUAGACCCGAAACCAGAUGAUCUAUCCAUGGC